Long non-coding RNA from Bactrocera tryoni, 764 nucleotides. RefSeq lists it as uncharacterized. The transcript is spliced from 3 exons. The record is from RefSeq and is a predicted model, not a curated record. NCBI's taxonomy places the organism in Eukaryota, Metazoa, Arthropoda, Insecta, Diptera, Tephritidae.
UGUUAUACAAAACGAAAAUUUUAAGGCGCCACCACGCUGAAAUAAGUUGGACAUCCCUUUAGACCGGAUAAUUGCAUUCGUAAAGAUGGCGUCAAAUAAAUAAAUAAGAAGCCGUAAAAAAUUAAAAUUUUACAGAUCGACUUUGCAUACAGGAGUGACCAAAUAAUUACAAUAAACUGUGUCUACUAUUUCUCAGCAGUACUGGCUUUUUACAACAAAAAAUUGGCAUAUAGUGAAGAAUAAAUAUUGGGGAUAUAAUUUGCAUACAAAAAAAGCCAAAAGACACCACCAGCACACCACGUGGUUAUAGCCGAAUUCACAAAAGCGUGCCAAUCGUUCUUUCUUCUGGCUGCUUGGCGUCAACUGGAGAUUCCAAGUGUAGCCAGGCUUUUCUCCACCUCUUUCCAACGGAGUGAAAGCCUUCCUCUGCUUCACCCGGCGGUUGCUGCGUCGCAUACUUUCAGGUGUGGAGCGUUUUCAUCCGUUCGGACGACAUGACCCAGCCAGCGUAGCUGCUGUCUCUUAAUUCGCUGAACUAUGUUACAUACAUAUAUACCCAUACAUACUAUGGGUAGCCAAAAAACAUCCGUUUGAAGGCGAGCUAAAGUGAGAAGGCGAAACAUUUCGCCACGUAAUAAACCCCACCAAUGAACUGAAGAAAACAGCCUCGGAUAAGAUACCCUCGUUUUGAUGACGACUCCUGCAAACGUGUUAUUUAAUUUCUGAACAAUAAAAACAUGAAUAAAAGUUUUAAAAAUUAAAAA